This 301-nucleotide ribosomal RNA is filed under the name uncultured bacterium. RNAcentral's name for it is "partial 16S ribosomal RNA". It matches the Rfam family "Bacterial small subunit ribosomal RNA", at positions 509 to 807 of the family's 1533-position model. The record is from RNAcentral.
CAGUAGCCGCGGUAAUACGAAGGGUGCAAGCGUUACUCGGAAUCACUGGGCGUAAAGCGUGCGUAGGUGGUGGCUUAAGUCCGUUGUGAAAGCCCUGGGCUCAACCUGGGAAUUGCAGUGGAUACUGGGUCACUAGAGUGUGGUAGAGGAUAGUGGAAUUCCCGGUGUAGCAGUGAAAUGCGUAGAGAUCGGAAGGAACAUCUGUGGCGAAGGCGACUAUCUGGGCCAACACUGACACUGAGGCACGAAAGCGUGGGGAGCAAACAGGAUUAGAGACCCCUGUAGUCCCUGUCUCUUAUAC